Molecule: non-coding RNA, 363 nt
Organism: Rattus rattus (black rat)
Lineage: Eukaryota; Metazoa; Chordata; Mammalia; Rodentia; Muridae
Source: the annotation of a RefSeq genome assembly
AUGGACAGGAGGGACACUGUUCUGUUCCAUGGGCUCCUGUUGCUCUCGUUUCAAGGUGCCAGAUGUGACAUCCAGAUGACCCAGUCUCCAUCCUCCCUGCCUGCAUCUCUGGGAGACAAAUUCACCAUCAGUUGCAGCGCAAGUGAUUUGGCCUGGUACCAGUUGAAACCAGAUGGAACUACUAAACUCCUGAUCUAUUACACAUCGAAUUUACAUGCAGGAGUUCCAUCAAGGUUCAGUGGCAGUGGGUUUGGGACAGAUUAUUCUCUCACCAUCAGCAACCUGGAGUCUGAAGAUAUUGCCGCUUAUUAUUGCCAACAGUUUAAUAAACAUCCUACCACAAUGAUAGAACUCAUAACAUAA